AACGAACGCUGGCGGCAUGCCUAACACAUGCAAGUCGAACGAGACCUUCGGGACUAGUGGCGCACGGGUGCGUAACGCGUGGGAACCUGCCUUUAGGUUCGGAAUAACUCCCCGAAAGGGGUGCUAAUACCGGAUAAUUUCUUCGUACCAAAGAUUUAUCGCCUUUGGAUGGGCCCGCGUUGGAUUGGCUAGUUGGUAGGGUAAGAGCCUACCAAGGCUACGAUCCAUAGCUGGUCUGAGAGGAUGAUCAGGCACACUGGGACUGAGACACGGACCAGAAUCCUACGGGAGGCAGCAGUGGGGAAUAUUAGACAAUGGGCGAAAGCCUGAUCCAGCAAUGCCGCGGAAUGUAUGAAGGCCUUAUGGUUGUAAAGCUCUUUUACCCGGGAUGAUAAUGACAGUACCGGGAGAAUAAGCUCCGGCUAACUCCGUG
This 433-nucleotide ribosomal RNA is filed under the name uncultured bacterium. Its description in RNAcentral is "partial 16S ribosomal RNA". It matches the Rfam family "Bacterial small subunit ribosomal RNA", at positions 29 to 507 of the family's 1533-position model. The record is from RNAcentral.